AGAGUUCUGGGCCGCACGCGCGUUACACUGACAGAGCCAGCGAGUACUUCCUUGACUUAAAAGUCCGGGUAAUCUUGUUAAACUCUGUCGUGCUGGGGAUAGAGCAUUGCAAUUAUUGCUCUUCAACGAGGAAUCCCUAGUAAGCGCAAGUCAUCAGCUUGCGUUGAUUACGUCCCUGCCCUUUGUACACACCGCCCGUCGCUACUACCGAUUGAAUGGCUCAGUGAGGCUUUCGGACUGAUCUAAGGGAGGAGGCAACUCUUCCCCCUGGUCGGAAAGUUAUCCAAACUCGGUCAUUUAGAGGAAGUAAAAGUCGUAACAAGGUCUCCGUUGGUGAACCAGCGGAGGGAUCAUUACUGAGUUUACGCUCUAUAACCCUUUGUGAACAUACCUAUAACUGUUGCUUCGGCGGGUAGGGUCUCCGUGACCCUCCCGGCCUCCCGCCCCCGGGCGGGUCGGCGCCCGCCGGAGGAUAACCAAACUCUGAUUUAACGACGUUUCUUCUGAGUGGUACAAGCAAAUAAUCAAAACUUUUAACAACGGAUCUCUUGGUUCUGGCAUCGAUGAAGAACGCAGCGAAAUGCGAUAAGUAAUGUGAAUUGCAGAAUUCAGUGAAUCAUCGAAUCUUUGAACGCACAUUGCGCCCGCCAGCAUUCUGGCGGGCAUGCCUGUUCGAGCGUCAUUUCACCCUCAAGCUCUGCUUGGUGUUGGGGCCCUACACUGAUGUAGGCCCUCCAAGGGAGUGGCGGAACCUCCCGGAGCCUCCUUUGCGUAA
Molecule: ribosomal RNA, 775 nt
Filed under: Phyllachoraceae sp. LM268
Lineage: Eukaryota; Fungi; Ascomycota; Sordariomycetes; Phyllachorales; Phyllachoraceae
Description: bacterial SSU rRNA
Rfam family: Eukaryotic small subunit ribosomal RNA (bases 1-356)
Source: RNAcentral